UGGUCACUGAAGACACUCCUUUUGAAGAGUUCCAAGCAAAAAGCAAAGUUUAAGGAAAACAUUUUUUUGAGGAACUUAAAACACAUUUUUCACAACUUUAUUUGAUCGAAGGGCGAAGGCGAAAAACAAAAGCCAGCCAACACAGAGGUGCCCCAAGGUCAAGUCUGAGGACCCCUGAUAUCGAGCCUCAACAGAGAAGGAAGAGACGGCGUCAUCGGUUCCGGCUCCUCCGAUUGGCUGCAUGGGCGUGCGCUUCGUCUUCCUGGUGCAAGGCAGCCGCGCCCCACUGUUGCCACGGAGACCACCCCUCCGACAUCAGCAAGGAGCUCCAGUGGUGAAGACCACUCCGUUUGCCGAUCUUGAUGCCGGCAUGCAACUUCAAUGGAAUGACAUUAUCUGUGAAGUAGGUCUCUGUUGCCCUCCAAAGUCUAUAAGAUGACAGUUGGUCAAAACCGGUCCUCUCCAUCUAUGAGGCUGAGAUUGGGCUCCACCGUCUCAGAGUCUACCAAGUGGAGAUUUGUAUCCAACAGCCCUGCUUCCCUUUCCGCCAUCUACAAGGCCAGGGGAUUCUCCAGCAACCAAGGUGCAGAUUGACACAUUCUCACACAGUGAUUUUACUCAUUAAUGCAACUGCUCUGUUAUUCAAAUACCCAGAAGAUGUUUAAUCUCCUUUGUGCAUUGCUAGUUGAUAGUAAUCCCAUAGGUCCCCCUUAUACACGG
Anguilla rostrata (American eel) is the source of this 720-nucleotide long non-coding RNA. RefSeq lists it as uncharacterized. NCBI's taxonomy places the organism in Eukaryota, Metazoa, Chordata, Actinopteri, Anguilliformes, Anguillidae. The transcript has 3 exons. The record is from RefSeq and is a predicted model, not a curated record.